AAAAAAGUACUCGUUAUAUAAAGAAUCCCUUGGCAAUUAGUUCAGGUGCCGGCCGCAGCGUUGGUGUGGCGCUACUUGCCAUCGAUUGUUUACUUGUCUGUCCUGGAGUGCCCUUUGGAAACCAUUUUUAAAAGACAAAUUACACUGACGCUUCGAGAAAGACAUUAAGAGAUGGAGGAGGGUAUACUCUCACUGCGUUGGAAUAAUCAUCGAUCAACAUUUUUCCAUAUUUUAUCUACACUUCAUAGGAAGGAACUUUACAGUGAUGUAACAUUAGCAUGCAAUGGUAAAUUUUUCCCAGUACACAAGUUGGUGCUUUCAGUGUGUAGUGAAUAUUUUGAGGAAAUGUUUAAGCAGACCACAUGUAAACAUCCCAUAAUAGUACUUAAGGAUAUUCUUCAUGAUGACCUUGAAGCGCUUCUCAAUUACAUGUAUGCGGGUGAGGCAAAUGUAGCGCAAAAUGACCUCGCCAGAUUAAUUAAAGCUGCUGAGUGUUUAAGAAUCAAAGGUCUAGCCGUCCCGGAUGAAGCCCCCCCUUCCAGUGAGAGUAAAAGAUCCCAUACUGAGGGGCUGAGAGAGGAAGCGCCUCACCCCAAGCGGCGGAAACAUGAUGACAGCUCAUCAGCCUCCUCCAAGUCGAGCCAAGGGCGACAGUCAGAGGAUGAACCCAAAGAUAAAAAUUGCAAGGAAUUGCCUAGCUGCAUGGAACAACAGCAACAACAUAGUGGAAGAUAUAGUGGGCAAAGUACAGGAUUACAACAAAUAACGAGUCCUGAACUACAACUUGAAUUAGAAAUGGGGAGAUCAAGUCAAGACGACAACAGUGCUACUCAAGAUCUUGCUGAGGUUGUCCUGGAUGAACAGCCGCUGAUCAAAGAGGAGAUCCAGGAACCCAAACAUGAACAUGAUGACGACAUAACGCACCAAACGGACUCGGAGGCAAGCAUCAGUUUCGACCCCCUCAAUUCUGGGGAUGAAAGAGGAGGGGGUACAGGCAUAUAUGACCCACAGCUGAUGGUCUCACACCCACAGAGUGUCCUACAAGAUAUCAUGGUGCAAGGGGUCCCGGGCCCUUCUGGACUGCCCACGGACUCCAUCACCAGCUGGGAUUCAGGUGGAAAUGUAGGCUUUUCGCUAGAAGGAUUCACAGGCGAGGAUGCGAGGACGACCCAGGCCAUGGAGUCGGCCCUGAGGAAUCCCCCUACAGGAAACAGUGAGGAAGAGGGAAACACCUCAUCUUUGAGGCAAGAUGGAAUGUGGGUGUGUCAGCAUCCAUACUGCGGUUACACCACUCAGAAAGCCUCUGUUCUCCGUGGACACAUGAGAAUUCACACAGGGGAGAAGCCCUAUAGUUGUCCCUAUUGCCCUCAUAGAACAGCACAGAAGGGCAACCUCAAUGCUCACAUUAGAUACAAGCACAGGCUCUUUGCCAGAGAAACGCAGAGGUACAAGUACAGUCUGAUCCCAAACAGUGUGUCUAUCAGGAACUCCAGCAUUGAAGAUGAACAACAGGCAUAAAUGGCACUUGAGACUGAUUCCUGAAAAGAAAAGCUUUUAUUUUUAUUAUUGUCUUUUAUAAAAUAUUGUGUACCUUCAUUCAGUUCUGCAGUGGAUGGAAAAGGAAAAUGACAGAAACAGACAGUUCCCUUUCCUGUCAGUGUAUCUAAGACGGAAUUGUGUACUGAAAAAUGGGUAUUGUUUAUUCUUUAUAUGUAAGAGUGGAAUCUCACAAUUCAUCAGUGAUUUGAUAUAAAAAAAAGAUACAAAGAUAAAAAAAAGCUUAAAGGUAUGAUUUCUCUAUUGUAGGGUCCUGCUCCCUUGUACAGUGAUGGCCAUAAGACCCAUCAGUGUGUGGUGUGUUUCAAGAUAUUUCCCAAGAAGGAUAACCUAGUCAAGCAUCAGCGGACCCACACUGGGGAAAGGCCCUUCAGCUGUCCCUAUUGCGAUUUCCGAGGUUCGCAGACAUCUACAGUGAAAAGGCACAUUGACAGGAAGCAUACAGCUCAUGGGCAUUGGCAUAUGAUGGCUCCACGUUGAAUGAUGAUGUGCGAGGCAGUUAUAGGCGAAGCCAGUUUGGAAGUAGGUGUGGCAGUGGAGCGACGGGUGGCAUGGCUGGCGGCACCAGAGGGGCACAAGUUGAAGGUGGAACCCACCCAUGUGUGCUGUGCCAGAAGCGCUUCACCAGCCGCCAGGACCUGAGACGCCACGUCCGCACUCACACAGGAGAGAGGCCAUACCAGUGUCCGCUUUGCCCUCACCGUGCGGCGCUCAAGGGCAACAUCAAGAAGCACAUCAUAGCAGUCCACAGAGACAUAACCCCGACUGCAGCUGAGGCUGCAGCAGUUCUUGAGAAAGAAUCAUUCCAGGCAGCUGACAACAAUGCUGGUGCUGCUACCACCUCCAACACUGGUGUUGGUGUUGAGCUCUUACAGAACUGUUCUUACUCACCAGAGAGUUUCCCUAAUUGUUGAAAGAUAUGUGGAAGCUUUGUAGAAGAAUUUUUUUUGACAGAGAGAUAUUAAGUAAUUUCCAUAAUUGGUUAUAAUCCUCAUUACCAUCUUGAAUAUUAUUUAUGAAUUGAUAUAUGAGACAUUAUUUUUUUUAAGUGAUAUAUGUAAUUAUCCUUACUGGUAGGUCUUAGCUGUAUCUAUGAUAUAUUGAUUUAAGUUACAGUGUAAAAAAAACACCAGGCACACCUCAUAACCCAAAAGUAAAUGAAAAUGCAUUAGGGAUAUGAUAUACAAGGUUUGCCUGUAUAACAGUUCAGUACAAGCACUAUUACACAAGUAAACUUCCUGAAGAAGUA
This is an RNA transcript of Penaeus monodon (black tiger shrimp), 2806 nucleotides long. It is a transcript of the gene named longitudinals lacking protein-like, with no coding region annotated. The transcript has 7 exons. NCBI's taxonomy places the organism in Eukaryota, Metazoa, Arthropoda, Malacostraca, Decapoda, Penaeidae. The record is from RefSeq and is a predicted model, not a curated record.